UUAGAGCCGUUUGAAGGGAGUUGUGAAAUCUUUAUCGAUUUCAAGGCUUCUUAGGACUUUUCUUUAUUUUUCUUGUUGUUUAUUUCUCUUUAAAUUUUUUUGCUUGAGUCGAUCUAUUGAUUAACUUAUUUUGAUCUCUUUAUUGUGUUUCCAACCAUUAUACUCUUCAAGAAUCUGAUCGGCACCCUUCUUGGCAGCAAGAAACG
This 206-nucleotide long non-coding RNA is filed under the name Gossypium raimondii (Peruvian cotton). RNAcentral describes it as "long non-coding RNA (GRAI_LNC003778)". The record is from RNAcentral. Lineage: Eukaryota; Viridiplantae; Streptophyta; Magnoliopsida; Malvales; Malvaceae.